GAACGCCGUAUGAGGUGAAAGUCUCACGUUCGGUGUGGAAUGGGGGAAAAGAUGGAAAAUACAUAAAAAUACAUUUAUUCUUUUAUGUAUUCAGAUCUUACCUAUCAUUAU
Molecule: non-coding RNA, 111 nt
Filed under: Lachnobacterium bovis
Lineage: Bacteria; Bacillati; Bacillota; Clostridia; Lachnospirales; Lachnospiraceae
Source: RNAcentral